This 1692-nucleotide unclassified non-coding RNA is filed under the name uncultured fungus. RNAcentral describes it as "sequence contains 18S rRNA gene, ITS1, 5.8S rRNA gene, ITS2, 28S rRNA gene". The stretch from base 766 to 1692 matches the Rfam family "Eukaryotic large subunit ribosomal RNA", at positions 1 to 961 of the family's 3401-position model. Lineage: Eukaryota; Fungi. The record is from RNAcentral.
GGAGGGAUCAUUGAAUCUAUCAAUACCAACACUGUGAACCGUGAUUGUCACCCUCAGAGCUAUACCAAAUUCUGCAGUUUUGCCCAUGAGCCAGCUUGGGGCAUGCUGCAGGAGGCUUUGAUGCAAUCGCACCUUGUGUGCACUCCUGCAAAGGACUGUCCAUAAGAGUGGUUGGGGGUAUGCAGCCGUUCUGGCUCCUUUGUAAUAAUAAUUUUAUUACUAUUAUGGGGAGGGUUGUACUGCCCUGGUGUUUUAAAUUAACCAACCCAGCACCAAAUUAAUUAUCAGUUGACUUUGAGGCCCAGUCGGCACAGCUGCUGGACCACAUAAAUCAAAGACAACUCUCAACAACGGAUAUCUUGGCUCUCGCAACGAUGAAGAACGCAGGCGAAAUGCGAUACGUAGUGUGAAUUGCAGAAUUCCGUGAAUCAUCGAAUCUUUGAACGCAUAUUGCGCUCGAGGCCUCGGCCGAGAGCAUGUCUGCCUCAGCGUCGGGUUAUCCUCUCCACUCCCACUCAUUAUUUUUAUAAUGGAUGGCAUGUGGUGGAUCUGAUCAUUUCAACAAGGGAAGCAUUUGCUUCUUUGCUGGAUGAUUGAAGCGAGGAAGCGUGUGCAAGGACCCAUGCAUUUAAUUAUGUGUGGGAUGCCACAAUUGGGUAGGCUACUGUGUUGAUGUGCUUGUCACAUUAACAUAUGCUGUUCUAAUUGUUGGUUGUGCCUUGUGUGCUGCUGAAAAAGAUGUGGAAAACAUCAUCAUAACCAUCUCGACCUGAGCUCAGGCAAGAACACCCGCUGAACUUAAGCAUAUCAAUAAGCGGAGGAAAAGAAACUAACCAGGAUUCCCUUAGUAACGGCGAGUGAACCGGGAAUAGCCCAACUUGAAAAUCUCCUUUUUGGAGAAUUGUAGUCUAGAGAAACGCCCUCUGUGGCGGCCGGAGCCCAAGUCCUCUGGAAAGGGGCGUCAGAGAGGGUGAGAACCCGUCGGCUCUCGGAUCCGCUGCUCCACGAGGUGUUUUCCACGAGUCGGGUUGUUUGAGAAUGCAGCCCAAAAUGGGAGGUAAAUCCCUUCUAAGGCUAAAUACUGGCGAGAGACCGAUAGCGAACAAGUACCGUGAGGGAAGAUGAAAAGAACUUUGAAAAGAGAGUUAAACAGUGCUUGAAAUUGUUGAGAGGGAAGCGAUUGGGGGCUGCGGGUGCGCCUAGGCUUAUGUGUCUCUAACGAGCCGCUGUAUGUGCUAGGUGCUGGUCAGCAUGGGUCCGGCUUGCGGGAUAACAGCGGGGAUUGCUACCUCGUCUAUGCCGCCGGCCUGACCAAGGCGUGAACGUCGCUCUGUCCUUCGGGAACUGGCGUCGUCAAGAUGCUGGCAGAAGGCCUUCAAUCGGCCCGUCUUGAAACACGGACCAAGGAGUCUAACAUGUAUGCGAGUUGGUGGGUGGAAAACCCAUGAAGCGAAAGUAACCUGACUGGUGGGAUGGCCUGUGCCUGCACCAUCGACCGACCAUGAGCUUCUGCAAAAGGUUUGAGUGCGAGCAUACCUGUUGGGACCCGAAAGAUGGUGAACUAUGCCUGAGCAGGGUGAAGCCAGAGGAAACUCUGGUGGAGGCUCGUAGAUGUGCUGACGUGCAAAUCGCUUUUCGGACUUGGGUAUAGGGGCGAAAGACUAAUCGAACCAUCUAGUAGCUGGUUCCCUC